RNAcentral lists this ribosomal RNA (499 nucleotides) under uncultured bacterium. Its description in RNAcentral is "partial 16S ribosomal RNA". It matches the Rfam family "Bacterial small subunit ribosomal RNA", at positions 28 to 507 of the family's 1533-position model. The record is from RNAcentral.
GACGAACGCUGGCGGCGUGCCUAAUACAUGCAAGUCGAGCGGACUGAAUGGGAGCUUGCUCUUGUUCGGUCAGCGGCGGACGGGUGAGUAACACGUGGGCAACCUGCCCGCAAGACCGGGAUAACUCCGGGAAACCGGAGCUAAUACCGGAUAACACCGAAGACCGCAUGGUCUUUGGUUGAAAGGCGGCGCAAGCUGCCACUUGCGGAUGGGCCCGCGGCGCAUUAGCUAGUUGGUGAGGUAACGGCUCACCAAGGCGACGAUGCGUAGCCGGCCUGGGAGGGUGACCGGCCACACUGGGACUGAGACACGGCCCAGACGCCUACGGGAGGCAGCAGGAGGGAAUCUUCCGCAAUGGGCGGAAGCCUGACGGAGCGACGCCGCGUGAGCGAAGAAGGCCUUCGGGUCGUAAAGCUCUGUUGUGAGGGACGAAGGAGCGCCGUUUGAAGAAGGCGGCGCGGUGACGGUACCUCACGAGGAAGCCCCGGCUAACUACGUG